This 494-nucleotide ribosomal RNA is filed under the name uncultured bacterium. RNAcentral's name for it is "partial 16S ribosomal RNA". It matches the Rfam family "Bacterial small subunit ribosomal RNA", at positions 899 to 1397 of the family's 1533-position model. The record is from RNAcentral.
ACUCAAAGGAAUUGACGGGGGCCCGCACAAGCAGCGGAGCAUGUGGUUUAAUUCGAAGCAACGCGAAGAACCUUACCUAGACUUGACAUCUCCUGAAUUACUCGUAAUAGAGGAAGCCUUUCGGGGCAGGAAGACAGGUGGUGCAUGGUUGUCGUCAGCUCGUGUCGUGAGAUGUUGGGUUAAGUCCCGCAACGAGCGCAACCCUUAUCAUUAGUUGCUACCAUUAAGUUGAGCACUCUAGUGAGACUGCCGUGGUUAACGCGGAGGAAGGUGGGGAUGACGUCAAAUCAUCAUGCCCCUUAUGUCUAGGGCUACACACGUGCUACAAUGGGUGGUACAGAGAGACGCAAUACCGUGAGGAGGAGCAAAACUCUAAAACCACUCCCAGUUCGGAUUGAAGGCUGAAACUCGCCUUCAUGAAGCCGGAGUUGCUAGUAAUCGCGAAUCAGAAUGUCGCGGUGAAUACGUUCCCGGGCCUUGUACACACCGCCCGU